CCUCAGUGCGGAAAUCCGGGGGGAAGUCAUAGAUCUCGAUGACGUGGGGCAGCUCGGCGUCACUGAGGUCCGGCGCGGCCGGCUCAGCCCCGUAGUAGUUGAAGCGGGGCUCCUGCAGGCUCUGCUGGCGCUCAGAGCCCCCCGAGAGCUCCUCCAGCAGGCGCGGAUCCAGGCAAUCCCCAUCGUCAUUGAAAAGCGCAUCCCAGCUCUCCGCACCGCCUGGGCUGCUCGGGGUCCCGGCACCGGGCUGACUCGGCUUUAGGGAGCUGCCAUAGGGACAUCCCUCCUCAUCCUCCUCUUCCUCCCGGUGCUGCCGCUGCCAGCCUUCAUCCUCAUCUGCUCGUGCCGGUUCCUCAGCCCACGAUCCAGGUGAGAGCUGUUCUAUGCCGUGGCACAGCAGCUCCAGGGGUUUUGGGGGCUGGGGACUGCCCAAGGGAUCUCCAUCCCCAGAGCCACUUUCUG
This 462-nucleotide long non-coding RNA is filed under the name Gallus gallus (chicken). The record is from RNAcentral. Lineage: Eukaryota; Metazoa; Chordata; Aves; Galliformes; Phasianidae.